This 253-nucleotide unclassified non-coding RNA is filed under the name uncultured Rhodanobacteraceae bacterium. RNAcentral's name for it is "contains 16S-23S intergenic spacer region". It matches the Rfam family "Bacterial small subunit ribosomal RNA", at positions 524 to 776 of the family's 1533-position model. The record is from RNAcentral. Lineage: Bacteria; Pseudomonadati; Pseudomonadota; Gammaproteobacteria; Lysobacterales; Rhodanobacteraceae.
UACGAAGGGUGCAAGCGUUAAUCGGAAUUACUGGGCGUAGAGGGUGCGUAGGCGGUUUGUUAAGUCGGAUGUGAAAGCCCUGGGCUCAACCUGGGAAUGGCAUCCGAUACUGGCAGGCUGGAGUGCGGCAGAGGGUGGUGGAAUUCCCGGUGUAGCGGUGAAAUGCGUAGAGAUCGGGAGGAACAUCGGUGGCGAAGGCGGCCACCUGGGCCAGCACUGACGCUGAGGCACGAAAGCGUGGGGAGCAAACAGG